GAGUGUCGAUAAUCUUUUGAAGACCUAAAAAAAUAUUUGACAUCUCCACCGUUGCUUACAAAAUCAAAGGUCAGAGAAACUUUGUAUCUCUACUUGGUGACAUUAAUGGAAGUAGUUAGUUCGGUGCUUGUCCAAGAGGAUGAAAAUUAAAUUCAACGAUCAAUCUACUAUACUAGUAAGGUGCUUCAUAAUGCUGAAGUGAGAUAUUCA
Molecule: long non-coding RNA, 210 nt
Filed under: Elaeis guineensis (African oil palm)
Lineage: Eukaryota; Viridiplantae; Streptophyta; Magnoliopsida; Arecales; Arecaceae
Description: long non-coding RNA (EGUI_LNC043890)
Source: RNAcentral